Molecule: ribosomal RNA, 490 nt
Filed under: uncultured bacterium
Lineage: Bacteria
Description: partial 16S ribosomal RNA
Rfam family: Bacterial small subunit ribosomal RNA
Source: RNAcentral
AUUGAACGCUGGCGGCAGGCCUAACACAUGCAAGUCGAACGGUAACAGGAAGCAGCUUGCUGCUUCGCUGACGAGUGGCGGACGGGUGAGUAAUGUCUGGGAGACUGCCUGAUGGAGGGGGAUAACUACUGGAAACGGGAGCUAAUACCGCAUAACGUCGCAAGACCAAAGAGGGGGACCUUAGGGCCUCUUUCCAUCGGAUGUGCCCAGAUGGGAUUAGCUAGUAGGUGGGGUAACGGCCCACCUAGGCGACGAUCCCUAGCUGGUCUGAGAGGAUGACCAGCCACACUGGAACUGAGACACGGUCCAGACUCCUACGGGAGGCAGCAGUGGGGAAUAUUGCACAAUGGGCGCAAGCCUGAUGCAGCCAUGCCGCGUGUAUGAAGAAGGCCUUCGGGUUUUAAAGUACUUUCAGCGGGGAGGAAGGGAGUAAAGUUAAUACCUUUGCUCAUUGACGUUACCCGCAGAAGAAGCACCGGCUAACUCCGUG